AAACAGGAUUAGAUACCCUGGUAGUCCACGCCGUAAACGAUGUCGACUUGGAGGUUGUGCCCUUGAGGCGUGGCUUCCGGAGCUAACGCGUUAAGUCGACCGCCUGGGGAGUACGGCCGCAAGGUUAAAACUCAAAUGAAUUGACGGGGGCCCGCACAAGCGGUGGAGCAUGUGGUUUAAUUCGAUGCAACGCGAAGAACCUUACCUGGUCUUGACAUCCACGGAAGUUUCCAGAGAUGGAAAGGUGCCUUCGGGAACCGUGAGACAGGUGCUGCAUGGCUGUCGUCAGCUCGUGUUGUGAAAUGUUGGGUUAAGUCCCGCAACGAGCGCAACCCUUAUCCUUUGUUGCCAGCGGUCCGGCCGGGAACUCAAAGGAGACUGCCAGUGAUAAACUGGAGGAAGGUGGGGAUGACGUCAAGUCAUCAUGGCCCUUACGACCAGGGCUACACACGUGCUACAAUGGCGCAUACAAAGAGAAGCGACCUCGCGAGAGCAAGCGGACCUCAUAAAGUGCGUCGUAGUCCGGAUUGGAGUCUGCAACUCGACUCCAUGAAGUCGGAAUCGCUAGUAAUCGUGGAUCAGAAUGCCACGGUGAAUACGUUCCCGGGCCUUGUACACACCGCCCGUCACACCAUGGGAGUGGGUUGCAAAAGAAGUAGGUAGCUUAACCUUCG
RNAcentral lists this ribosomal RNA (674 nucleotides) under Escherichia sp. RNAcentral describes it as "bacterial SSU rRNA". It matches the Rfam family "Bacterial small subunit ribosomal RNA", at positions 770 to 1444 of the family's 1533-position model. Lineage: Bacteria; Pseudomonadati; Pseudomonadota; Gammaproteobacteria; Enterobacterales; Enterobacteriaceae. The record is from RNAcentral.